UGGUACAACAACCGGGUGAGGUGUGCCAUA
RNAcentral lists this non-coding RNA (30 nucleotides) under Homo sapiens (human). The record is from RNAcentral. Lineage: Eukaryota; Metazoa; Chordata; Mammalia; Primates; Hominidae.